UACGGAGGAUCCAAGCGUUAUCCGGAAUCAUUGGGUUUAAAGGGUCCGUAGGCGGUUUGGUAAGUCAGUGGUGAAAGCCCAUCGCUCAACGGUGGAACGGCCAUUGAUACUGCCAGACUUGAAUUAUUAGGAAGUAACUAGAAUAUGUAGUGUAGCGGUGAAAUGCUUAGAGAUUACAUGGAAUACCAAUUGCGAAGGCAGGUUACUACUAAUGGGAUUGACGCUGAUGGACGAAAGCGUGGGUAGCGAACAGG
RNAcentral lists this ribosomal RNA (254 nucleotides) under uncultured bacterium. Its description in RNAcentral is "partial 16S ribosomal RNA". It matches the Rfam family "Bacterial small subunit ribosomal RNA", at positions 524 to 776 of the family's 1533-position model. The record is from RNAcentral.